Molecule: long non-coding RNA, 901 nt
Organism: Mustela lutreola (European mink)
Lineage: Eukaryota; Metazoa; Chordata; Mammalia; Carnivora; Mustelidae
Exons: 3
Source: RefSeq, a predicted model, not a curated record
UGACUUCUGACCCCGAGAGAGAUCUUAGCGCUAGCUUCCAACGAUGUUUGCUUUAUGCAAAUAAGAAACAAAAGCUGUCAUAAAGGGUGUGGAAAUGCCGUGGAGAAUUGCCUCCCAACAUUCUGUGGGUAUGACAGAGGCAGAUGGAGAAUGUGAGAGAAUGACUUCUUAUUAUAAGAAGUAAUAAGAAAAUUCCCUCCGGUGUGUGAAUAGAAGCUUCAUGUCCCCAAGAGGAUUUGCACUUGAAAAGAGAUUUAAAAACAAAGCACAGAUCCCACACAAACGAAGCUAUACAAGGUGAAACUCCAGAAAGUGUGAUUAAGUGAGGAGAUUUUCCGAAGUAGGGAAGAUACUUGGGGGCAACAGGAACUUUCCACAGGUGGCUCCCAGUGACACACCAGUCUAUCUCCUACAGCCUUGAAGCCUUUUCUGCCCACCCUCAGGCCCAGCUUCCUGCCACUUUGCUUUCCACGGGGCGACUUCCUGGAACAUGUGACCCUUACCUCAGGGUAAGGUCCUUAAAACCUGACACAGAACUAUCCCUGCUGCCACAUCUCUCCUCUUAACUUCACGCCAGGAGGCUUACCUCAUAUCACAAAAGCAAUGUACAUUCAUUCAUAAGAAAUCAAAUGGGCAGCUUAUUUGAAAGGCGGAUUCCGAGAUCUAGAUUCUGAUUCAGUCGUUUGGGACGCAGCCCAGAACGUUUUUAUAAACCUCCUUCCCCCAGGUGGUUCAGAUGCACUAGGCAGACUAUACUUAGAAAACCCAGCGCCCCAGGGAGAGGGGCUGAGCUAUUAGUUCAGCUUGCCCUCCAGAAUCUCCAGCUAACUCUUUUCUAGUAAGUUCUGACUUCCUGUGUUGCUGAUGGAGCGAGGCCAUCUGCUCACAACCUUAAAACUAA